AGGAUAAACGCUGGCGGCGUGCAUGAGACAUGCAAGUCGAACGGACACUUGGGGCUUGCUCCAAGUGUUAGUGGCGGACGGCUGAGUAACGCGUAGGUGACCUGCCCCGAAGUGGGGAAUAACUGCCCGAAAGGGUGGCUAAUACCGCAUGUGGUGGUGUGUUCAUUCACACCAGUAAAGCCGCAAGGCGCUUCGGGAGGGGCCUGCGUCCGAUUAGCUCGUUGGUGGGGUAACGGCUCACCAAGGCGACGAUCGGUAGGUGGUCUGAGAGGACGAUCACCCAGACUGGGACUGAGACACGGCCCAGACUCCUACGGGAGGCAGCAGUCGGGAAUUUUUGCGCAAUGGACGAAAGUCUGACGCAGCAACGCCGCGUGAGGGAUGAAGGCCUUCGGGUUGUAAACCUCUUUAUCAGGGAAGAUAAUGACGGUACCUGAUGAAUAAGUCACGGCUAACUACGUGCCAGCAGCCGC
This 473-nucleotide ribosomal RNA is filed under the name uncultured bacterium. Its description in RNAcentral is "SSU rRNA". It matches the Rfam family "Bacterial small subunit ribosomal RNA", at positions 26 to 518 of the family's 1533-position model. The record is from RNAcentral.